Molecule: long non-coding RNA, 612 nt
Organism: Carassius carassius (crucian carp)
Lineage: Eukaryota; Metazoa; Chordata; Actinopteri; Cypriniformes; Cyprinidae
Exons: 4
Source: RefSeq, a predicted model, not a curated record
UUAAUUUACUAAAAUUAAAUGUUAAGUUUUUUUUUUGCUAUUUUUAAGUUGCAUUUAAGUUGUUAGCUUGUAAUUUCUGGUCUUUGAAAUUUGUUUUCUUUUCAAAUUAUUUCUUUUGAUUUUAUAUAUUGGAAUUAUUUUGUAACCUUUUUAUGUUUUAACUGAUCCAUGUUUCUCUUUGUCUUACAGGUAAAAAUCCUUGGUGAAGUCACCAGAUAUGGAUGGUGUCCAUGUAACUUCAAAACUGCCGUUGGCCUUCGUACACAUGUGUAUCGUAACCAUGCAGUGAUUACACCAAGUGCUGACAAAUCACACAGUGCUGUUAAUAUGACAUGCCAGGUUAUGGGAUGUUCUUUCACUUCCACAUCUGGGGAUGCAUUGUGAAACUAAUAUCUCUGUCGUGUAUGUUGUUCGAUAUUGCAGCGUGCUGAUGAGUUAAUAGAGAGGCAGCAAAAACCUGGGAUCUGCAUUGGCCCUGUCAAGUCUGGAGAGUGAUUUUACCGUUUAAUGAAUUAAAUUGUAAUAAAAGUUUUUAAAUGGACUUCUGAGUGUUGUCAUAAUUUACGUGACAUCUAAUAAUCAAUAAUAUAACUGUGUGAAUUUUUUUUUGCA